UUAAGCGACUAAGCGUACACGGUGGAUGCCCUGGCAGUCAGAGGCGAUGAAGGACGUGCUAAUCUGCGAUAAGCGUCGGUGAGGUGAUAUGAACCGUUAUAACCGGCGAUUUCCGAAUGGGGAAACCCAGUGUGUUUCGACACACUAUCAUUAACUGAAUCCAUAGGUUAAUGAGGCGAACCGGGGGAACUGAAACAUCUAAGUACCCCGAGGAAAAGAAAUCAACCGAGAUUCCCCCAGUAGCGGCGAGCGAACGGGGAGGAGCCCAGAGCCUGAAUCAGUGUGUGUGUUAGUGGAAGCGUCUGGAAAGGCGCGCGAUACAGGGUGACAGCCCCGUACACAAAAAUGCACAUAUUGUGAGCUCGAUGAGUAGGGCGGGACACGUGGUAUCCUGUCUGAAUAUGGGGGGACCAUCCUCCAAGGCUAAAUACUCCUGACUGACCGAUAGUGAACCAGUACCGUGAGGGAAAGGCGAAAAGAACCCCGGCGAGGGGAGUGAAAAAGAACCUGAAACCGUGUACGUACAAGCAGUGGGAGCCUCUUUAUGGGGUGACUGCGUACCUUUUGUAUAAUGGGUCAGCGACUUAUAUUCUGUAGCAAGGUUAACCGAAUAGGGGAGCCGAAGGGAAACCGAGUCUUAACUGGGCGUUAAGUUGCAGGGUAUAGACCCGAAACCCGGUGAUCUAGCCAUGGGCAGGUUGAAGGUUGGGUAACACUAACUGGAGGACCGAACCGACUAAUGUUGAAAAAUUAGCGGAUGACUUGUGGCUGGGGGUGAAAGGCCAAUCAAACCGGGAGAUAGCUGGUUCUCCCCGAAAGCUAUUUAGGUAGCGCCUCGUGAAUUCAUCUCCGGGGGUAGAGCACUGUUUCGGCAAGGGGGUCAUCCCGACUUACCAACCCGAUGCAAACUGCGAAUACCGGAGAAUGUUAUCACGGGAGACACACGGCGGGUGCUAACGUCCGUCGUGAAGAGGGAAACAACCCAGACCGCCAGCUAAGGUCCCAAAGUCAUGGUUAAGUGGGAAACGAUGUGGGAAGGCCCAGACAGCCAGGAUGUUGGCUUAGAAGCAGCCAUCAUUUAAAGAAAGCGUAAUAGCUCACUGGUCGAGUCGGCCUGCGCGGAAGAUGUAACGGGGCUAAACCAUGCACCGAAGCUGCGGCAGCGACACUAUGUGUUGUUGGGUAGGGGAGCGUUCUGUAAGCCUGUGAAGGUGGCCUGUGAGGGUUGCUGGAGGUAUCAGAAGUGCGAAUGCUGACAUAAGUAACGAUAAAGCGGGUGAAAAGCCCGCUCGCCGGAAGACCAAGGGUUCCUGUCCAACGUUAAUCGGGGCAGGGUGAGUCGACCCCUAAGGCGAGGCCGAAAGGCGUAGUCGAUGGGAAACAGGUUAAUAUUCCUGUACUUGGUGUUACUGCGAAGGGGGGACGGAGAAGGCUAUGUUGGCCGGGCGACGGUUGUCCCGGUUUAAGCGUGUAGGCUGGUUUUCCAGGCAAAUCCGGAAAACCAAGGCUGAGGCGUGAUGACGAGGCACUACGGUGCUGAAGCGACAAAUGCCCUGCUUCCAGGAAAAGCCUCUAAGCAUCAGGUAACAUCAAAUCGUACCCCAAACCGACACAGGUGGUCAGGUAGAGAAUACCAAGGCGCUUGAGAGAACUCGGGUGAAGGAACUAGGCAAAAUGGUGCCGUAACUUCGGGAGAAGGCACGCUGAUAUGUAGGUGAAGCGACUUGCUCGUGGAGCUGAAAUCAGUCGAAGAUACCAGCUGGCUGCAACUGUUUAUUAAAAACACAGCACUGUGCAAACACGAAAGUGGACGUAUACGGUGUGACGCCUGCCCGGUGCCGGAAGGUUAAUUGAUGGGGUUAGCGGUAACGCGAAGCUCUUGAUCGAAGCCCCGGUAAACGGCGGCCGUAACUAUAACGGUCCUAAGGUAGCGAAAUUCCUUGUCGGGUAAGUUCCGACCUGCACGAAUGGCGUAAUGAUGGCCAGGCUGUCUCCACCCGAGACUCAGUGAAAUUGAACUCGCUGUGAAGAUGCAGUGUACCCGCGGCAAGACGGAAAGACCCCGUGAACCUUUACUAUAGCUUGACACUGAACAUUGAGCCUUGAUGUGUAGGAUAGGUGGGAGGCUUUGAAGUGUGGACGCCAGUCUGCAUGGAGCCGACCUUGAAAUACCACCCUUUAAUGUUUGAUGUUCUAACGUUGGCCCGUAAUCCGGGUUGCGGACAGUGUCUGGUGGGUAGUUUGACUGGGGCGGUCUCCUCCUAAAGAGUAACGGAGGAGCACGAAGGUUGGCUAAUCCUGGUCGGACAUCAGGAGGUUAGUGCAAUGGCAUAAGCCAGCUUGACUGCGAGCGUGACGGCGCGAGCAGGUGCGAAAGCAGGUCAUAGUGAUCCGGUGGUUCUGAAUGGAAGGGCCAUCGCUCAACGGAUAAAAGGUACUCCGGGGAUAACAGGCUGAUACCGCCCAAGAGUUCAUAUCGACGGCGGUGUUUGGCACCUCGAUGUCGGCUCAUCACAUCCUGGGGCUGAAGUAGGUCCCAAGGGUAUGGCUGUUCGCCAUUUAAAGUGGUACGCGAGCUGGGUUUAGAACGUCGUGAGACAGUUCGGUCCCUAUCUGCCGUGGGCGCUGGAGAACUGAGGGGGGCUGCUCCUAGUACGAGAGGACCGGAGUGGACGCAUCACUGGUGUUCGGGUUGUCAUGCCAAUGGCACUGCCCGGUAGCUAAAUGCGGAAGAGAUAAGUGCUGAAAGCAUCUAAGCACGAAACUUGCCCCGAGAUGAGUUCUCCCUGAGACCUUGAGUCUCCUGAAGGAACGUUGAAGACGACGACGUUGAUAGGCCGGGUGUGUAAGCGCAGCGAUGCGUUGAGCUAACCGGUACUAAUGAACCGUGAGGCUUAACCUU
RNAcentral lists this ribosomal RNA (2902 nucleotides) under Escherichia coli HVH 196 (4-4530470). RNAcentral describes it as "bacterial LSU rRNA". It matches the Rfam family "Bacterial large subunit ribosomal RNA". Lineage: Bacteria; Pseudomonadati; Pseudomonadota; Gammaproteobacteria; Enterobacterales; Enterobacteriaceae. The record is from RNAcentral.